Molecule: long non-coding RNA, 367 nt
Organism: Amphimedon queenslandica
Lineage: Eukaryota; Metazoa; Porifera; Demospongiae; Haplosclerida; Niphatidae
Exons: 3
Source: RefSeq, a predicted model, not a curated record
ACCUACAUGUACAUGUACAUUACAUAGAUUUACUAAUUUGAUACAAGGAUCAUCAAUUAAUAUUAAUUUUAAUCUUUCUUUCAGAUAAGAAACUUGGAGCUACUUUACUUUUCUUUGGUUGUCGUAAUCGUGCUCAUGAUUACUUGUAUCAGGAGGAGCUGGAGGAGUAUGAGAGUAAGGGUAUACUCUCGGGACUCUAUGUGGCCUUCUCACGAGAACAAGAAGAGAAAGUUUAUGUGCAGCACAAGUUGAAGGAGAAAGGGAAAGAAGUUUGGGAACUUAUUGAGGGUCAAGGUUUCUUUUAUGUGUGUGGUGAUGCCCGUAAUAUGGCACGUGAUGUACAGAACACACUGUUGUCAAUAAUAAA